This 253-nucleotide ribosomal RNA is filed under the name uncultured bacterium. Its description in RNAcentral is "partial 16S ribosomal RNA". It matches the Rfam family "Bacterial small subunit ribosomal RNA", at positions 524 to 776 of the family's 1533-position model. The record is from RNAcentral.
GACGAACCGUGCGAACGUUGUUCGGAAUCACUGGGCUUAAAGGGCGCGUAGGCGGGUUCCCAAGUCCGGGGUGAAAUCUUUCGGCUUAACCGGAAAAUAGCCUCGGAUACUGGGAGUCUUGAGGGAGGUAGGGGCAGUUGGAACUUCCGGUGGAGCGGUGAAAUGCGUUGAUAUCGGAAGGAACGCCGGUGGCGAAAGCGAACUGCUGGACCUCUUCUGACGCUGAGGCGCGAAAGCCAGGGGAGCAAGCGGG